AUCCAGCUGACGAGUUCUGAAUAGGACGAAACGUGCGUCAAACUGGAU
Molecule: non-coding RNA, 48 nt
Filed under: Schistosoma mattheei
Lineage: Eukaryota; Metazoa; Platyhelminthes; Trematoda; Strigeidida; Schistosomatidae
Source: RNAcentral